UACGUAGGUGGCAAGCGUUGUCCGGAUUUAUUGGGCGUAAAGCGCACGCAGGCGGUUGGAUAAGUUAGAUGUGAAAGCCCCGGGCUCAACCUGGGAAUUGCAUUUAAAACUGUCCAGCUAGAGUCUUGUAGAGGGGGGUAGAAUUCCAGGUGUAGCGGUGAAAUGCGUAGAGAUCUGGAGGAAUACCGGUGGCGAAGGCGGCCCCCUGGACAAAGACUGACGCUCAGGUGCGAAAGCGUGGGGAGCAAACAGGAUUAGAUACCCUGGUAGUCCACGCCGUAAACGAUGUCGAUUUGGAGGCUGUGUCCUUGAGACGUGGCUUCCGGAGCUAACGCGUUAAAUCGACCGCCUGGGGAGUACGGCCGCAAGGUUAAA
This 375-nucleotide ribosomal RNA is filed under the name uncultured bacterium. Its description in RNAcentral is "bacterial SSU rRNA". It matches the Rfam family "Bacterial small subunit ribosomal RNA", at positions 524 to 898 of the family's 1533-position model. The record is from RNAcentral.